RNAcentral lists this ribosomal RNA (254 nucleotides) under uncultured bacterium. Its description in RNAcentral is "partial 16S ribosomal RNA". It matches the Rfam family "Bacterial small subunit ribosomal RNA", at positions 524 to 776 of the family's 1533-position model. The record is from RNAcentral.
UACGAAGGGGGCUAGCGUUGCUCGGAAUCACUGGGCGUAAAGGGUGCGUAGGCGGGUCUUUUAAGUCAGGGGUGAAAUCCUGGAGCUCAACUCCAGAACUGCCUUUGAUACUGAGGAUCUUGAGUUCGGGAGAGGUGAGUGGAACUGCGAGUGUAGAGGUGAAAUUCGUAGAUAUUCGCAAGAACACCAGUGGCGAAGGCGGCUCACUGGCCCGAUACUGACGCUGAGGCACGAAAGCCAGGGGAGCAAACGGG